AAUAUUGCACAAUGGGGGAAACCCUGAUGCAGCGACGCCGCGUGAGCGAAGAAGGNCUNNGGGUCNUNAAGCUCUGUCCUAAGNNNNNAAACGGACGGUCCCUUAGGAGGAAGCCCCGGCUAACUACGUGCCAGCAGCCGCGGUAAGACGUAGGGGGCGGGCGUUAUCCGGACUGAUUGGGCGGAAAGGAUGCGUAGGCGGCUUUUUAAGACAGAUGUGAAAGGCUACGGCUUAACCGUAGUUAGCAUUUGAAACUAAAAGGCUUGAGUGCAGGAGAGGAGAGUGGAACUCCUAGUGUAGCGGUGAAAUGCGUAGAUAUUAGGAGGAACACCAGUGGCGAAGGCGACUCUCUGGACUGCAACUGACGCUGAGGCACGAAAGCGUGGGGAGCGAACAG
RNAcentral lists this ribosomal RNA (397 nucleotides) under uncultured bacterium. RNAcentral's name for it is "partial 16S ribosomal RNA". It matches the Rfam family "Bacterial small subunit ribosomal RNA", at positions 360 to 775 of the family's 1533-position model. The record is from RNAcentral.